AUUAAGAAAAGAAUUUUGCAUUAAGUGAGGCAGGAAUUGGGUACUGUGGAUUUAAUUAUUUUCAUUGGUACCAAAUUGAAUAAAUCUUUGUAGAUAUUUGAUUUUCUGAUUUUGCCAACGUCUGCAUAUAACAAGCAGAAAAAUUUGUAUAUCACUGAACAUUAAAAUUUGGGGUUCAUCUGCACCAACAAAACCCCCAAAAAGUGUUAUCCAUUAAAAAAUAAAGAAUGGUAAAAUCAAAAAAAUACUUAACUCUGAGUAAAGUUCAAAAUGGUAAGUCCCUAAUCAAAAUAGCAAAAUCAAAAUGGAAAGUCCCUAAUCAAAUGGCAAAAUCAAAAUGCUCAAACACUUUAAAUAAACAAAUUGAAAAAGUGGCAUAUUCCUGAUUUGGUACAGG
RNAcentral lists this long non-coding RNA (397 nucleotides) under Mytilus galloprovincialis (Mediterranean mussel). The record is from RNAcentral. Lineage: Eukaryota; Metazoa; Mollusca; Bivalvia; Mytilida; Mytilidae.